GGCGCUGCGCUAACCGCAAGGAGGCAGGCGACCACGGUAGGGUCAGCGACUGGGGUGAAGUCGUAACAAGGUAGCCGUAGGGGAACCUGCGGCUGGAUCACCUCCUUUCUAAGG
RNAcentral lists this ribosomal RNA (114 nucleotides) under Pseudomonas sp. Its description in RNAcentral is "partial 16S ribosomal RNA". It matches the Rfam family "Bacterial small subunit ribosomal RNA", at positions 1426 to 1533 of the family's 1533-position model. The record is from RNAcentral. Lineage: Bacteria; Pseudomonadati; Pseudomonadota; Gammaproteobacteria; Pseudomonadales; Pseudomonadaceae.